RNAcentral lists this ribosomal RNA (498 nucleotides) under Didymium saturnus. RNAcentral describes it as "SSU rRNA". It matches the Rfam family "Eukaryotic small subunit ribosomal RNA", at positions 68 to 514 of the family's 1831-position model. The record is from RNAcentral. Lineage: Eukaryota; Evosea; Eumycetozoa; Physariida; Didymiaceae.
AAGCAAUUCUCUCUGAAUCUGCGAACGGCUCCGCACACCAGUUGUAAACUAUAGCAAGCAUGCCCGGUACCCCUUCACGGGGGUGCUGGGUGAUACGGAUAACCCUGGUAAUUCUGAGGCUAAUACGAGAACGUAAUCCCCGGCCGACCGGGUAACUGGGAAGCUGGGAGACGUGCGAGUUGUGUCGCGGGAAAACACCGGGAAUGGACGCACGUCUGGACCGCGCCAAAAACAGAUGGGUGACCUGGUCUUCACGGGUUGGGUUGCCUGCCUGAGCGGCUCUUGCUGUGUGCUUCUGACCUAUCAACUAGACGGCAGCGUAAUGGACAUGCUAUGGUUACAACGGGUACAGAGGAUUAGGGUUCGAUCCUGGAGAGUGGGCCUGAGAGAUUGCUCAUACUUCUAAGGAAGGCAGCAGGCGCGCAACGUUCCCCUUGUGCAAUGCAUGAGGGCGUUAGGGGACAUAUGAAUGCCUGCCCAAUGGGUGGGCAAUUCAAA